AUGCAGCCGACGAGUCCCAAAUAGGAUGAAAUUCGUGUCCUGGAU
RNAcentral lists this non-coding RNA (45 nucleotides) under Trichobilharzia regenti. Lineage: Eukaryota; Metazoa; Platyhelminthes; Trematoda; Strigeidida; Schistosomatidae. The record is from RNAcentral.